Molecule: non-coding RNA, 4023 nt
Organism: Pelobates cultripes (western spadefoot toad)
Lineage: Eukaryota; Metazoa; Chordata; Amphibia; Anura; Pelobatidae
Source: the annotation of a GenBank genome assembly
CACAAUAUUUUAGUUAUCAGGAAUAAUACAAUUCACAAACAAGCAGUUUGUGAAAAUUAUAAUAAAAUACAAAAAAUUAAAAAUCAUAAUAAAAGAAACAAAACAAAUCAAAGAUUCAUACUUGCAAUUUUUUUAGGCAUCCUAAAAAUAAAAAUUACAGAACACAUGGGUGGGGAGAAAAUGGAAGAAAAAAAAAUACAAAACAUGGAAAAUUAUACAAAACAAAAAUAUCAGCAUCAAUUUACUGUACUAGUCAAAUCUGCCGUUUAAUACACAUUAAUCCUACUGCCUUCGGACAUUGUAAAAUCUACCAUUCAUCAGAUCAACCCCCAAAUAAACUGAAUUUCAAGUAACCACAGUCACGAGUUGAGAUAUAUUCAAGUGUGGCUUACAAGUUUACCUCCAUUGGAGAAUCUUGUAACCAAUGAAUUUAAAGACAUGAAAUCAAAUACAUCAACUUCUAUUUUCUAACUAUCUAUACUGCAUUUUUUAUUUAUGUCACAAAACAAACCUGUUUUUCCGUAUUUCUUCUUAACCCUUUUAACCACUGCAGGAUUCUAAAACACAAGUUGUGCCACUCCUGUCCAGUGUUGGAAAGAAUUAAUACAAUUACAUAAAAAGAUAAAAAUGACGUGCCACAUCUAAAAUGUACAUUUAUGAUUUUUUUUUUAAUUUAGAUUUUUUUAAAAUUAUUUUUUGACACAAUGCAUGAAAGAGGACAAAGCUAUUAAAAGCAGAAUUGUGUUAACGUUAAAGUAUAUGGAGUCUUAAAAUGAAUCCCUGAAUAAAAGAUAUUGUGAUGGUGCCAGGUGGUAAAAUCUGUGUAAUUAUCCCUGAUUGUGUAAUUAAAGAAUUAUAACACAAACAACAAAAUGCCUCUAAGGUCACGCAUUUCAUCCUACCAAGAACUAUUCAUAGGGAAAAAACUAUUUUCCAAACAGCUAUACAAAGCACUGCAUUUUGGGUUAGUGCAAAUGCCUUUUCUGAAUGCACAUAAAAUAAAAUGAGCUGUGGCUAAUGAGUGUGCCAGAUAGGAGUAAAAAGCACUGUAUUCAAAUCAAACAGGUAUUUGUUGUAUAUACACGUGUGACUACAUAGAGAUAUGUAUAUAGACACACCCACAUUACAUAUUUUUUUUCCAGCACUUGCCUUCUCUCAAGCUUCCUACACACAAAUGCUUUUAUACAUAACAUUUUAUCUAUUGUUUGUCCUGUCGAUCACCCAUAUGCAAAUGCUUUGCAGAUUUUACCUUGUAGCAAGAAGCUCAUUAAUAGCAUAAUAAAAGAGAAAAAGCAGUCAGCUUAAAAAGAACCACGUAUGAUUUAAAAUCACUUGCUGAAUUACUUUGGAGCGUACACAAAAAUGAUAUUAAAAGUCCUAAGAGGAGGAACACACACACACAGUUACAAUACUUCCAAGUUAUCUAAGAUUCAUUUUAGAGUUGACCAUAAUUUUUUCCCUACACAAUUCAGAUACCGAAGAUAGUUUUCACAGCAGGGUUUGCAAACAUGAUGAUAAUCUAAAACCUCUGUUGGCAUGCUACAAAUUGUCCAUGUCUGGGUUACAAGUUUUUGAAUAUAUCUCUUGAAAAUGUUUAUGCCUUUUCAGGUUAGAUCAUGUGAGUAACCUGAUUAAAGAAGUUUCAACUAAAAAAAAUUACCUAAAAGGGUAUUUUGCCUGUUUCUUGAGCACCUGUGUCUUGGAUAAAUAUGGAACAGUGUCACAAUACAAGUUAAUCAUGAAGGAACAGUGAUCAACAGUAAUGUCAUUUUAAAGUGUCAUUAAAAGCAUCCCUGAUUUUGGUCAUCUUGAUUUUUAACAUGAACCGAUUUCCUACAAAAUCUAAUUUAAGUUUGGGGGGGGAUCAUAUAUAUAGAAGUUAGCACCAAUGUUAUAAGGAAAUAUAAAUGUUAGAAAGAAUGAUUAAUACUGAGCAAUGAUGCCUAAAGUUAUUAUGGUACUCAUGAAAGGGAAAAAUAAAACAGCAUAGGAAAGAUGCAAUUACAAGACCCAUACAAAAGUAUCACACGUACAUAGCCAGUGUCAUCAAAAAGGUCCACACACAUUGUUUUUAUUUAACAAAAAUAAAAAUAAAUUAAAAAUAAUAGGUUGAUAAAAUAUCCCACAGACACCUCUGGAAUUUGAUACAAUCCCAAAUGCACAAAACACAUACUAGCACAAGUGACACUUGUAUGAUUCGUUACAUACACAGCUGAUCUAGGCUAACACGUCAUCCACUAAAAAUCAUUUGAAGAGAAUCUAUCACAAAAAUAUAAAGAACCAUAUUUGUUUUUGCACAGCUGUAUAUAAUUACAAGCAACAAUAAUUAUUAUAUAGGUGCCAAUUUAUAUAAAAUACAAUGUUUUUUACUAUACACCAAGGAGCUGGAUACACUUUUGUCAUGUCCCAAUCCUCUACGUGUACCAAGCUUCCAAAAAAAUAAAAUUAAAAUAAGUUUGUGGUAGCAAAAAACAAAACAAAAAAACCCAAUAUUUUGUGAACACUUUUUUUUUUAUUGAUCUGUAGUUGUCAGAACAGCAGCACCUUAUAAUCUCAAAUAUGCAAAUGAUAUAAUCCUCCACUACUUGAAUGUGUCAAUUAGUCUUUUGGAGCAUAAAGGAUUUCACUUUAUACAAUGAUUCCAGAUAUAUAAAUAAGUGAUUGUAUAGAUAUACCAUAGAAUAAAUAUGAAAUUUAGCUUAUAUUUAGCACCAACAACACAAUAAUGCUACAUUUUAGAAUUACAAAAUACUUUGUUUUCAUGAUAGAUUCCCUUUAAGCUGCAGAGACAGAGUCCAUAUCUACUAAUAAUCAUGCCAUAAUUACUUUAAUUACCCACUUUCAACUUUUUAAAAAGGAAUUAAUCUUUGCAACAAUGCUACACUUCUGUUUUCUCAGUCUAGUUAAAAUAAAAAUUACUGAUACAAAAAUGGAAGCUUCCCCUACUGCUAACCAAAAAAGAAAAAACAAACAGAACUAGUUGACCAUAAUUGUGUCAAAUUGCAGACCAUUCAGAAGAUAUGGGAAUAUAUACUUAUGUGUCUCUGUUUGAGGAAUAGCUUUAUAAUCUGGCAUUAAUCUGUUGGCCCAAAUAUGAACUGGCUGUUUUGCAAAUGAAUUUGCAAAUUAGAUAGAUGCAGGCUGUAUAAUUAGAAAAACAAGUAUCUAAUUCCAAUCAAAUAUGGAUUUUACUCUGUGGUGAAUUUAUUGUUUCAGCCGGUUAUAUUAUUUCCCCAAUGUGUCCAUCGUUGUGAAUUCUUCAUGUUUGUUCUUCAACGUCUGCCAUCAUUCAACCAGAUAUGCAGGUUUUUCCUGAAUUUUGUUUGCAGGUCUAUUUCAAACAAAUUAAGCAGCAGGCCCAAAUUUCUAUUGCAUGUAUAUCCUAAAGAGUUCAAUCACAUUCCCUUACAACUGCCAUGUUAAAUUUUAGUCAGUCUCUGUUGUCAGGACAGUCCUCCACUGCUUCACCUCCAGCGACUUUCCUGGGUUUAAAAUUACUUUUUUGUUCUCAAAGAGUUAUUGACUAUAAGCUUCAUAAUUUGUGUUUUAGUACUGCUUUGUCAUAGAAAUCUUCAGGACCAGUUUAAUUUUAAUCUGGUCCCUAAACAUCUUAUGCGAUCAUGGAAUGUCCUGCUUACUAUUUAUUACUGGCAUUAAUAAAGCGCCAACAUAUUCCGCAGUGCUGACUAGUUUAGUUGAUUCUUAUUGAAGGAUUCUAUCCCACAAUAGAAUAUAUGGUUACAACUGCAAAAAUGGUCUUUGGUCCUUAAAAGUUUAAACCAAGUCUCCAGGAACAUUUUGAUGUGAUGAUGUGUGACUCUAAAUCUAUUUUCAAACAUCUUUGUGUCUAUUUUUCUGGGUUAAGUUAGAUCUUUUCUGAUAAGGAAUUUGAUUUGAACUGGAUGUUUGCUUGGCAUACAAAGGCGAACAAAGUCUGGUGGAAUAGCUGCUACAGAUAUUUUCACAAGUUUCAAUCCUUUAGCAGAUCUUUUUCUUGAAAACAAUAUAUAUAUAUGACAUAAC